AAAUAACGAGGAAAGUCCGUGCACCACAGAGCAGGAUGCUGGAUAACGUCCAGUGGGGGCGACCCUAAGGAUAGUGCAACAGAGAGAUACCGCCAUUUAUGGUAAGGGUGGAAAGGCGAGGUAAGAGCUCACCAGGACUUAGGCGACUAAGUUGCUAUGUAAACCCCAUUUGGUGCAAGAUCAAGAUGGAACAAUGUAGUUGCUCGCUACACCAUAGGUAGAUCGCUUGACCUUAUUGGUAACAAUAAGGGUAGAUAGAUGAUUAUCAAAAACAGAACACGGCUUAUUUUCUGGUCC
Molecule: RNase P RNA, 297 nt
Filed under: Lagierella massiliensis
Lineage: Bacteria; Bacillati; Bacillota; Tissierellia; Tissierellales; Peptoniphilaceae
Description: Bacterial RNase P class A
Rfam family: Bacterial RNase P class A
About the family: Ribonuclease P (RNase P) is a ubiquitous endoribonuclease, found in archaea, bacteria and eukarya as well as chloroplasts and mitochondria. Its best characterised activity is the generation of mature 5'-ends of tRNAs by cleaving the 5'-leader elements of precursor-tRNAs.
Source: RNAcentral